This 492-nucleotide ribosomal RNA is filed under the name uncultured bacterium. RNAcentral describes it as "partial 16S ribosomal RNA". It matches the Rfam family "Bacterial small subunit ribosomal RNA", at positions 29 to 507 of the family's 1533-position model. The record is from RNAcentral.
AGUGAACGCUGGCGGUAGGCCUAACACAUGCAAGUCGAACGGCAGCACAGUAAGAGCUUGCUCUUACGGGUGGCGAGUGGCGGACGGGUGAGGAAUACAUCGGAAUCUACUUUUUCGUGGGGGAUAACGUAGGGAAACUUACGCUAAUACCGCAUACGACCUACGGGUGACAGCAGGGGAUCUUCGGACCUUGCGCGAUUGAAUGAGCCGAUGUCGGAUUAGCUAGUUGGCGGGGUAAAGGCCCACCAAGGCGACGAUCCGUAGCUGGUCUGAGAGGAUGAUCAGCCACACUGGAACUGAGACACGGUCCAGACUCCUACGGGAGGCAGCAGUGGGGAAUAUUGGACAAUGGGCGCAAGCCUGAUCCAGCCAUACCGCGUGGGUGAAGAAGGCCUUCGGGUUGUAAAGCCCUUUUGUCGGGAAAGAAAAGCAGCAGGUUAAUACCCCGCUGUUCUGACGGUACCCAAAGAAUAAGCACCGGCUAACUUCGUG